RNAcentral lists this ribosomal RNA (495 nucleotides) under uncultured bacterium. Its description in RNAcentral is "partial 16S ribosomal RNA". It matches the Rfam family "Bacterial small subunit ribosomal RNA", at positions 30 to 507 of the family's 1533-position model. The record is from RNAcentral.
UGAACGCUGGCGGCGUGCCUAAUACAUGCACGUCGAGCGACCAGACGAGGAGCUUGCUCCUCUGACGUUAGCGGCGGACGGGUGAGUAACACGUGGAUAACCUACCUAUAAGACUGGGAUAACUUCGGGAAACCGGAGCUAAUACCGGAUAAUAUAUUGAACCGCAUGGUUCAAUAGUGAAAGACGGUUUUGCUGUCACUUAUAGAUGGAUCCGCGCCGCAUUAGCUAGUUGGUAAGGUAACGGCUUACCAAGGCAACGAUGCGUAGCCGACCUGAGAGGGUGAUCGGCCACACUGGAACUGAGACACGGUCCAGACUCCUACGGGAGGCAGCAGUAGGGAAUCUUCCGCAAUGGGCGAAAGCCUGACGGAGCAACGCCGCGUGAGUGAUGAAGGUCUUCGGAUCGUAAAACUCUGUUAUUAGGGAAGAACAAAUGUGUAAGUAACUAUGCACGUCUUGACGGUACCUAAUCAGAAAGCCACGGCUAACUACGUG